This 106-nucleotide transfer RNA is filed under the name Candidatus Bathyarchaeota archaeon. RNAcentral's name for it is "tRNA-Leu". It matches the Rfam family "tRNA". From Rfam's summary of the family: Transfer RNA (tRNA) molecules are approximately 80 nucleotides in length. Their secondary structure includes four short double-helical elements and three loops (D, anti-codon, and T loops). Lineage: Archaea; Thermoproteati; Candidatus Bathyarchaeota. RNAcentral also lists the same sequence under 2 other names. The record is from RNAcentral.
GCAGGGGUAGCAGAGCUUGGUCAAUCCUCAUAGAGGGACUUUAUGCGCGGGACUCAAGAUCCCGUCCCGAAGGGGUACAUGGGUUCAAAUCCCAUCCCCUGCACCA